RNAcentral lists this long non-coding RNA (518 nucleotides) under Elaeis guineensis (African oil palm). RNAcentral's name for it is "long non-coding RNA (EGUI_LNC003028)". Lineage: Eukaryota; Viridiplantae; Streptophyta; Magnoliopsida; Arecales; Arecaceae. The record is from RNAcentral.
UCUAAACUCCUUUCCGAAGAGAUGUUGUAUAAAGUUGGGUUGAGCCUAGCCAAUCCUCACAGUAAGUCAACUUUAUUAAUGUUUCACUUCAAUUUUCUCCAACUGACUCAUAUUUUUUGAAUAUGAAGCCUGAGGACAUCGAAGCCUUGCAUCACACUACCAAGAGGAAGAAGUCCUCGGUUCGGGGCUCCUACACCUAAACGGGGGCGAGCUAAGGCUGUCCUCGCCUAGCCUGCCAUUGGGGCUUCUCAAAUGCCAGCCCAUGGUUCAACCCCAAUGAAGGAGGCUUCUUCCAGGGCCCAACUCAUCCUGCCUCUCAAGUCGACGGCUUCGAGGGAACCAAUUCCUCCCUCUUCUACAUCUUCAUUGCUCCGAGAUUCGUCAACCCCUCGGAUUUUGGUACACAUCUCCCCACGGCCAACCAACUUUCCUGUUGCGGCUUCUCAAAGGCCCCAAGCUCAGCUUGAGCAAGGGAUUUAGGAUGAAAGAUCGGGCUUUGCAAAUGAUAGCAUUGCCUG